Molecule: non-coding RNA, 71 nt
Organism: Parelaphostrongylus tenuis
Lineage: Eukaryota; Metazoa; Nematoda; Chromadorea; Rhabditida; Metastrongylidae
Source: the annotation of a GenBank genome assembly
GCCUUUGUGGUGUAGUGGUAGCACGCGUCCUCAGUAAGAGAGAAAGGCGGGUUCGACUCCUGUCUGAGGUA